GCACAUUUUUUAUUGAAUUCAAGUUUAAUUAUUAUUUACUAUACUAUACUUAUAAAUCCUUUUUACAAAAAAAAUUUUUUUUUUUUUCCUUAAAUUUUAUUUAAAGUAACCCACUAUAACUUUUAUGUGGUCUACACCUUUACCUAACUUACUAGUUGACUAUUUGGAAUAAAAUCGUAAAGAUAAAUUCUUAAGAUGGAGGUAUAUAAAAUGUGAAUAAAAGUGAAAAUUAUCGKGGAUUAUCGAUUAUUUAKCGGUU
RNAcentral lists this ribosomal RNA (259 nucleotides) under Trichonephila inaurata (golden orb-web spider). RNAcentral's name for it is "partial 12S ribosomal RNA". The record is from RNAcentral. Lineage: Eukaryota; Metazoa; Arthropoda; Arachnida; Araneae; Nephilidae.